RNAcentral lists this ribosomal RNA (301 nucleotides) under uncultured bacterium. RNAcentral's name for it is "partial 16S ribosomal RNA". It matches the Rfam family "Bacterial small subunit ribosomal RNA", at positions 509 to 807 of the family's 1533-position model. The record is from RNAcentral.
CAGCAGCCACGGUAAUACGAAGGGUGCAAGCGUUAAUCGGAAUUACUGGGCGUAAAGCGUGCGUAGGCGGUGGGUUAAGUCUGCUGUGAAAUCCCCGGGCUCAACCUGGGAAUGGCAGUGGAUACUGGUUCGCUAGAGUGUGUCAGAGGAUGGUGGAAUUCCCGGUGUAGCGGUGAAAUGCGUAGAGAUCGGGAGGAACAUCAGUGGCGAAGGCGGCCAUCUGGGACAACACUGACGCUGAGGCACGAAAGCGUGGGGAGCAAACAGGAUUAGAUACCCCGGUAGUCCCUGUCUCUUAUAC